GAAAAGAAACCAACAGGGAUUGCCCCAGUAACGGCGAGUGAAGCGGCAACAGCUCAAAUUUGAAAUCUGGUCCCCAGGGCCCGAGUUGUAAUUUGUAGAGGAUGCUUUUGGCGAGGCGCCUUCCGAGUUCCCUGGAACGGGACGCCACAGAGGGUGAGAGCCCCGUCUGGUCGGAUGCCAAGCCUAUGUAAAGCUCCUUCGACGAGUCGAGUAGUUUGGGAAUGCUGCUCAAAAUGGGAGGUAUAUGUCUUCUAAAGCUAAAUAUUGGCCAGAGACCGAUAGCGCACAAGUAGAGUGAUCGAAAGAUGAAAAGCACUUUGAAAAGAGGGUUAAAAAGUACGUGAAAUUGUUGAAAGGGAAGCGCCUAUGACCAGACUUGGGCCCGGUGAAUCAUCCAGCGUUCUCGCUGGUGCACUUUGCCGGGCACAGGCCAGCAUCAGUUUGGCGCGGGGGAUAAAGGUUUCGGGAACGUGGCUCCCUCGGGAGUGUUAUAGCCCGUUGCGUAAUACCCUGCGCCGGACUGAGGUACGCGCUCCGCAAGGAUGCUGGCGUAAUGGUCAUCAGCGACCCGUCUUGAAACACGG
This 584-nucleotide ribosomal RNA is filed under the name Torrubiella sp. T4-9-3. RNAcentral's name for it is "eukaryotic LSU rRNA". It matches the Rfam family "Eukaryotic large subunit ribosomal RNA", at positions 56 to 664 of the family's 3401-position model. The record is from RNAcentral. Lineage: Eukaryota; Fungi; Ascomycota; Sordariomycetes; Hypocreales; Cordycipitaceae.